Molecule: non-coding RNA, 845 nt
Organism: Sinocyclocheilus rhinocerous
Lineage: Eukaryota; Metazoa; Chordata; Actinopteri; Cypriniformes; Cyprinidae
Source: the annotation of a RefSeq genome assembly
ACAGAAAGUCCCGAGGGUUUGUAAGGAACGUUUCCUUUAACGUCCGUCAUCAGUAGAUCCAUGUGUUCAUGUUCAGAGUGACUUUAUGUGCUUCUUUCACUGUGAUUGACUACAGCAGGAUUCUCCACAGUCACUGACACCUGCAGAUAACAACAGCCACAUAUGAGAUUGUGUUUCAAAGCACUUUAAUACACAGCACAGCAGUCAAACACAACUAACAUGGAGACUAAAACAGAGUGAUUGUGUUUGAAUCUGAAUCAUUUCUCCAUGAAUCAAACGUGUAAAGCACACAGUCAGCUGAGCUCGAGUGAGUAUUUCACUUCUGUUUGUGUCUCUUCACAGACUGAGGAGGUUUUUGUACGGCUGAACAUAUGAAAUGUAUCACUGUGGUAUUCGGACAAGGAACAAAACUCGUUGUGAAUGAUGCUGCUGCUGCUGCUCCUGUGCUGAACAUCCUCCGCCCGUCCAGAGAAGAGCUGAGCUCCAGUAAACUCACUCUGGUGUGUCUGAUCAAUCACAUGACUGGGGCUUUUGCUGAUGUGCGUUGGCUUGUGAACGGGAACUCUGUUACUGAAGGCGUCUUCACUGGAUCUGCUGAACAGCAGCCUGAUAAGAAGUUCAAGAUGAGCAGUUAUUUAAGCAUUGAGAGCUCAGAGUGGGACAAAGACACACAGCUGAUAUGUGAAGCGACUGCUGCCUCAAAAACCACCAGCAAAAGCAUCAAGAAAUCUGACUGCAGCGACUGAACUGCUUGAUCUCCUCUUGAUUUAUAUGAGUAAUUCAGUUUGUUUGCAUAGAGUAGAAGAAAAUAUGGAUAGAAACGAUUAAAAAUAAAGAAAGUAUUG